RNAcentral lists this ribosomal RNA (270 nucleotides) under uncultured bacterium. RNAcentral's name for it is "partial 16S ribosomal RNA". It matches the Rfam family "Bacterial small subunit ribosomal RNA", at positions 83 to 354 of the family's 1533-position model. The record is from RNAcentral.
CUAUGUCGGCGACCGGCGCGCGGGUGCGUAACGCGUAUGCAACCUACCCAUUACAGGGGGAUAACACUGAGAAAUCGGUACUAAUACCCCAUAACAUCCAGGGAGGCAUCUUCUUGGGUUGAAAACUCCGGUGGUAAUGGAUGGGCAUGCGUUGUAUUAGUUAGUUGGUGGGGUAACGGCUCACCAAGACAACGAUACAUAGGGGGACUGAGAGGUUAACCCCCCACAUUGGUACUGAGACACGGACCAAACUCCUACGGAAGGCAGCAG